Molecule: ribosomal RNA, 964 nt
Filed under: Bacillus tequilensis
Lineage: Bacteria; Bacillati; Bacillota; Bacilli; Caryophanales; Bacillaceae
Description: bacterial SSU rRNA
Rfam family: Bacterial small subunit ribosomal RNA
Source: RNAcentral
CACCACUCCCCCUCACACCCUCUCUCCCUCCCCCACAAACCCCCCCCCCCCCCCUCCUUAGAGUUUUGAUUCUGGCUCAGGACGAACCCUGGCGGCGUGCCUAAUACAUGCAAGUCGAGCGGACAGAUGGGAGCUUGCUUCCUGAUGUUAGCGGCGGACGGGUGAGUAACACGUGGGUAACCUGCCUGUAAGACUGGGAUAACUCCGGGAAACCGGGGCUAAUACCGGAUGGUUGUUUGAACCGCAUGGUUCAAACAUAAAAGGUGGCUUCGGCUACCACUUACAGAUGGACCCGCGGCGCAUUAGCUAGUUGGUGAGGUAACGGCUCACCAAGGCGACGAUGCGUAGCCGACCUGAGAGGGUGAUCGGCCACACUGGGACUGAGACACGGCCCAGACUCCUACGGGAGGCAGCAGUAGGGAAUCUUCCGCAAUGGACGAAAGUCUGACGGAGCAACGCCGCGUGAGUGAUGAAGGUUUUCGGAUCGUAAAGCUCUGUUGUUAGGGAAGAACAAGUACCGUUCGAAUAGGGCGGUACCUUGACGGUACCUAACCAGAAAGCCACGGCUAACUACGUGCCAGCAGCCGCGGUAAUACGUAGGUGGCAAGCGUUGUCCGGAAUUAUUGGGCGUAAAGGGCUCGCAGGCGGUUUCUUAAGUCUGAUGUGAAAGCCCCCGGCUCAACCGGGGAGGGUCAUUGGAAACUGGGGAACUUGAGUGCAGAAGAGGAGAGUGGAAUUCCACGUGUAGCGGUGAAAUGCGUAGAGAUGUGGAGGAACACCAGUGGCGAAGGCGACUCUCUGGUCUGUAACUGACGCUGAGGAGCGAAAGCGUGGGGAGCGAACAGGAUUAGAUACCCUGGUAGUCCACGCCGUAAACGAUGAGUGCUAAGUGUUAGGGGGUUUCCGCCCCUUAGUGCUGCAGCUAACGCAUUAAGCACUCCGCCUGGGAAUUAUCGAACGGUCU